GCUUGAACACCGCCGAGCUUCUCGGAGUCUCUCCGGGAGGGCGGGGGAACCACUGGGGUGGCGCAGUUGCCGCCUCGGGGCGAGUCGCGGCGACCGCCGCGUAGCGCCAGUCCUUCGGCGCGAGCCCGUCAGCUAACCCCGUAGGUAGUGAAGGAUGAACCG
Molecule: small RNA, 162 nt
Filed under: Actinomycetota bacterium
Lineage: Bacteria; Bacillati; Actinomycetota
Description: Actinobacteria bacterium c-di-AMP sequence
Rfam family: c-di-AMP riboswitch aptamer (ydaO/yuaA leader)
About the family: This family represents a conserved RNA structure found upstream of the ydaO and yuaA genes in Bacillus subtilis and related genes in other bacteria. The ydaO/yuaA element is thought to act as a genetic "off" switch for the ydaO and yuaA genes in its native state. It is believed that the element may be triggered during osmotic shock leading to activation of ydaO, a predicted amino acid transporter gene, and members of the yuaA-yubG operon which code for KtrA and KtrB K+ transporters.
Source: RNAcentral